AACGAACGCUGGCGGCGUGCCUAACACAUGCAAGUCGUGCGAGAAAGUUCCUUCGGGAGCGAGUAAAGCGGCGCACGGGUGAGUAACACGUAGGUAACCUGCCCCCCAGUCUGGAACAACUAGAGGAAACUCUAGCUAAUGCCGGAUGAGACCACGAUCCCUUCGGGGGUUGCGGCCAAAGAUGGCCUCUACUUGUAAGCUAUCGCUGAGGGAUGGGCCUGCGGGCCAUUAGCUUGUUGGUGAGGUAACGGCUCACCAAGGCUGUGAUGGCUAGCUGGUCUGAGAGGAUGACCAGCCACACUGGGACUGAGACACGGCCCAGACUCCUACGGGAGGCAGCAGUGGGGAAUAUUGGACAAUGGGCGAAAGCCUGAUCCAGCAAUGCCGCGUGAGUGAUGAAGGCCUUAGGGUUGUAAAGCUCUUUUACCAGGGAUGAUAAUGACAGUACCUGGAGAAUAAAGCUCCGGCUAACUCCGUGCCAGCAGCCGCGGUAAU
This 495-nucleotide ribosomal RNA is filed under the name uncultured bacterium. Its description in RNAcentral is "bacterial SSU rRNA". It matches the Rfam family "Bacterial small subunit ribosomal RNA", at positions 29 to 524 of the family's 1533-position model. The record is from RNAcentral.